RNAcentral lists this ribosomal RNA (423 nucleotides) under uncultured bacterium. Its description in RNAcentral is "bacterial SSU rRNA". It matches the Rfam family "Bacterial small subunit ribosomal RNA", at positions 207 to 622 of the family's 1533-position model. The record is from RNAcentral.
AAGACCUUGCACUUUUGGAGCGGCCGAUGUCUGAUUAGCUAGUUGGUGGGGUAAUGGCCUACCAAAGCUUCGAUCAGUAGCUGGUCUGAGAGGACGGCCAGCCACACUGGGACUGAGACACGGCCCAGACUCCUACGGGAGGCAGCAGUGGGGAAUUUUGGACAAUGGGGGCAACCCUGAUCCAGCCAUGCCGCGUGAGUGAAGAAGGCCUUCGGGUUGUAAAGCUCUUUCAGCCGGAACGAAACGGUUACGGUUAAUACCCGUGAUUACUGACGGUACCGGAAGAAGAAGCACCGGCUAACUACGUGCCAGCAGCCGCGGUAAUACGUAGGGUGCGAGCGUUAAUCGGAAUUACUGGGCGUAAAGGGUGCGCAGGCGGUUUUGUAAGUCAGAUGUGAAAUCCCCGGGCUUAACCUGGGAACU